RNAcentral lists this transfer RNA (74 nucleotides) under Glossina pallidipes. Its description in RNAcentral is "tRNA tRNA-Asp". It matches the Rfam family "tRNA". Rfam says of the family: Transfer RNA (tRNA) molecules are approximately 80 nucleotides in length. Their secondary structure includes four short double-helical elements and three loops (D, anti-codon, and T loops). Lineage: Eukaryota; Metazoa; Arthropoda; Insecta; Diptera; Glossinidae. RNAcentral also lists the same sequence under 1 other name. The record is from RNAcentral.
GGUGCGGUAGUUCAGUCGGAUAGAAUACCGGCCUGUCACGCCGGGGGUCGCGGGUUCGAAACCCGUCCGCACCG